AACGCAACUUGCGCUCUCUGGUAUUCCGGAGAGCAUGCCUGUUUGAGUAUCAUGAAAUCUCAACCAUUAGGGUUUCUUAAUGGCUUGGAUUUGAGUGAUGGCAGUUCGCCUGCCUCGCUUUAAAAGAGUUAGCGUGUUUAACUUGUCGAUCUGGCGUAAUAAGUUUCGCUGGUGUAGACUUGGGAAGUGCGCUUCUAAUCGUCUUCGGACAAUUCUUGAACUCUGGUCUCAAAUCAGGUAGGGCUACCCGCUGAACUUAA
RNAcentral lists this unclassified non-coding RNA (260 nucleotides) under uncultured Cutaneotrichosporon. RNAcentral describes it as "sequence contains ITS2". The stretch from base 1 to 52 matches the Rfam family "5.8S ribosomal RNA", at positions 103 to 154 of the family's 154-position model. The record is from RNAcentral. Lineage: Eukaryota; Fungi; Basidiomycota; Tremellomycetes; Trichosporonales; Trichosporonaceae.